Molecule: ribosomal RNA, 641 nt
Filed under: Azotobacter chroococcum
Lineage: Bacteria; Pseudomonadati; Pseudomonadota; Gammaproteobacteria; Pseudomonadales; Pseudomonadaceae
Description: bacterial SSU rRNA
Rfam family: Bacterial small subunit ribosomal RNA
Source: RNAcentral
UAAUGACUAGGAAUCUGCCCGAUAGUGGGGGACAACGUUUCGAAAGGAACGCUAAUACCGCAUACGUCCUACGGGAGAAAGUGGGGGCUCUUCGGACCUCACGCUAUCGGAUGAGCCUAGGUCGGAUUAGCUAGUUGGUGGGGUAAAGGCUCACCAAGGCGACGAUCCGUAACUGGUCUGAGAGGAUGAUCAGUCACACUGGAACUGAGACACGGUCCAGACUCCUACGGGAGGCAGCAGUGGGGAAUAUUGGACAAUGGGCGAAAGCCUGAUCCAGCCAUGCCGCGUGUGUGAAGAAGGUCUUCGGAUUGUAAAGCACUUUAAGUUGGGAGGAAGGGCUGUAAGCGAAUACCUUGCAGUUUUGACGUUACCGACAGAAUAAGCACCGGCUAACUUCGUGCCAGCAGCCGCGGUAAUACGAAGGGUGCAAGCGUUAAUCGGAAUUACUGGGCGUAAAGCGCGCGUAGGUGGUUUGGUAAGUUGGAUGUGAAAGCCCCGGGCUCAACCUGGGAACUGCAUCCAAAACUGCCUGACUAGAGUACGGUAGAGGGUGGUGGAAUUUCCUGUGUAGCGGUGAAAUGCGUAGAUAUAGGAAGGAACACCAGUGGCGAAGGCGACCACCUGGACUGAUACUGACACUG